UACGGAGGGUGCGAGCGUUGUCCGGAAUCACUGGGCGUAAAGGGCGCGUAGGCGGCCGCGUAAGUCACUUGUGAAAUCCCGGGGCUCAACUCCGGGGCUGCAGGUGAGACUGUGUGGCUAGAGCUUGGUAGAGGCGAGUGGAAUUCCCGGUGUAGCGGUGGAAUGCGUAGAUAUCGGGAAGAACACCGGUGGCGAAGGCGGCUCGCUGGGCCAAUGCUGACGCUGAGGCGCGAAAGCGUGGGGAGCAAACAGG
This 253-nucleotide ribosomal RNA is filed under the name uncultured bacterium. Its description in RNAcentral is "partial 16S ribosomal RNA". It matches the Rfam family "Bacterial small subunit ribosomal RNA", at positions 524 to 776 of the family's 1533-position model. The record is from RNAcentral.